AGCACAGUAAGAGCUUGCUCUUAUGGGUGGCGAGUGGCGGACGGGUGAGGAAUACAUCGGAAUCUACCUUUUCGUGGGGGAUAACGUAGGGAAACUUACGCUAAUACCGCAUACGACCUUCGGGUGAAAGCAGGGGACCUUCGGGCCUUGCGCGGAUAGAUGAGCCGAUGUCGGAUUAGCUAGUUGGCGGGGUAAAGGCCCACCAAGGCGACGAUCCGUAGCUGGUCUGAGAGGAUGAUCAGCCACACUGGAACUGAGACACGGUCCAGACUCC
Molecule: ribosomal RNA, 274 nt
Filed under: uncultured Stenotrophomonas sp.
Lineage: Bacteria; Pseudomonadati; Pseudomonadota; Gammaproteobacteria; Lysobacterales; Lysobacteraceae
Description: partial 16S ribosomal RNA
Rfam family: Bacterial small subunit ribosomal RNA
Source: RNAcentral